This is a long non-coding RNA of Pistacia vera, 411 nucleotides long. RefSeq lists it as uncharacterized. The record is from RefSeq and is a predicted model, not a curated record. Lineage: Eukaryota; Viridiplantae; Streptophyta; Magnoliopsida; Sapindales; Anacardiaceae. The transcript is spliced from 2 exons.
AUAGCUUUGGUCUUGUCCUGUUGAACUCGUAACUGGGUGGAAGCCUAUUGAUCAUACUCUGUCGUGUGAGUAGCAGAGCCUUGUGACAUGGAUAAGGUGAAGCAUUUCGUUGAUGCUAAGUUAAAUGGAGAAUAGCCUUCUACGGCAGUUGCAAAGGUACUGAAGAUGGUAACUUUGGCUGAAAAUAAUACAUCAAAUUCAAGUUUUCUUGGUGGAAGAACAAAGGAUUGUGAAGAAGGUUUUGAAGAUCUAGAAAGCAAAGGAAAAUCAAUCUUCAAGGAGCUAGAAAGCGAGAGGGUGAAAGCAAAACUUUUUGGAUUUUAAGAAAUGAAUGAGAAAGUGGAAAAGCUUCUUUCUUUGUAUUGAAUUCCCUAUUUUUAUUGGGUUUGAAUUGACAAAAUUACUUAUACA